CGGACGAAGCUGCGGCGUGCCUAAUACAAUGGCAAGUAGAAACGACUGAAGGAAGGGAAGGACUUUGCGUCUUUCCGGAGUUGAGUUGCGAACGGGUCGGAGUAACGCGUAGGUAACCUGCCUGGUAGCGGGGGAGUAACUAUUGGUAAACGGAUAGCUAAUAACCGCAUAACAAGUAGAUAUCGCAUGAUAGGCUGCUUGAAAGGUAGCAAAUGCACCACUACCAGAUGGACCUGCGUUGUAUUAGCUAGUUGGUGAGGUAACGGCUCACCAAGGCAACGAUACAUAGCCGACCUGAGAGGGUGAUCGGCCACACUGGGACUGAGACACGGCCCAGACUCCUACGGGAGGCAGCAGUAGGGAAUCUUCGGCAAUGAACGGAAGUCUGACCGAGCAACGCCGCGUGAGUGAAGAAGGUUUUCGGAUCGUAAAGCUCUGUUGUAAGAGAAGAACGAGUGUGGGAGUGGAAAGUUCACACUGUGACGGUAUCUUACCAGAAAGGGACGGCUAACUACGUG
This 518-nucleotide ribosomal RNA is filed under the name uncultured Streptococcus sp. Its description in RNAcentral is "bacterial SSU rRNA". It matches the Rfam family "Bacterial small subunit ribosomal RNA", at positions 39 to 507 of the family's 1533-position model. Lineage: Bacteria; Bacillati; Bacillota; Bacilli; Lactobacillales; Streptococcaceae. The record is from RNAcentral.